GAAUGUUCGAGUACAGAAGAAUCUCAAAUAGCCAAAAGAUAAUUAAGGAGUUGUUCAGCAUCCUCAGUCAUCAGUCCACAGGAAAAGAACACAUUUAAAGGUUAUGAUAAGGCAAUGGUGAAAGAAUUCUUUUUUGAUUGCUAAAAAGUCAGACUGAAACAUGAAAAGGACAUGCUGAAUCUUCACUGGAUUGAAGACGGGAGAGAGUCAUGUGAACAUCCUGCAAGAAUGGUCUUUAAGAGAAGACAGCAGCCCCCCCCCCCCCAACAGUCACUCAACAAACAGGAGCCUCAGUCUAAAACAGAAUUCUCACAACAACCUGAACCAGAUUAUGGAUGACUUCUUAGGGCCUCAAAAUGAAAAUGUAUCAUGUUGGUUGGCAUCCAUGCUGGAUUUCAGCUUUGUAAGGCCCUUUCCAGAAUAUUCCACCAGGUCCACCUAGAUACUGACCCACAGAACUGU
Molecule: non-coding RNA, 462 nt
Organism: Peromyscus maniculatus bairdii (prairie deer mouse)
Lineage: Eukaryota; Metazoa; Chordata; Mammalia; Rodentia; Cricetidae
Source: RefSeq, a predicted model, not a curated record